RNAcentral lists this long non-coding RNA (210 nucleotides) under Gossypium raimondii (Peruvian cotton). RNAcentral describes it as "long non-coding RNA (GRAI_LNC000936)". Lineage: Eukaryota; Viridiplantae; Streptophyta; Magnoliopsida; Malvales; Malvaceae. The record is from RNAcentral.
CAAGAUCAAAAUUAAAAUGUGGAAAAUAGUAAAUAAUUACAUCCCUACCCUUAACAACCUUUAGUCUAGGAAACUGAGGGUAAUAAACAAUUUCCCACUAUGUCACUCAGCGAAAGAAUCGAUAAGCCAUAUUUUCUGGGACUAUGCAUUUGUUAAAAAUAUCCUGCAAGGGGUAGGGAUAGAUGUCUCCCCCAGUCCCCAAGGCCAACA